This 279-nucleotide unclassified non-coding RNA is filed under the name plant metagenome. Its description in RNAcentral is "partial contains small subunit ribosomal RNA, internal transcribed spacer 1, and 5.8S ribosomal RNA". The record is from RNAcentral.
ACUCCGUAGGUGAACCUGCGGAGGGAUCAUUACAGAGUUCGCGCCCUCCCGGGUAGAUCUCCCACCCUGUGUUAUUGCCACCUUUGUUGCUUUGGCGGGCCGCCCUCGGCUACCGGCCACGGCUGGUACGCUCACGCCAGACGACACCAAACCCCUAACGUCAGUGUCGUCUGAGUACCAUACCAUAGCUAAAACGUACAACAACGGAUCCCUUGGAUCUGGUACCGAUGAAGAACGCAUCAGAUCCGAAAAGCAAAAGACCGAACCCCAGUCACUUCG